UCUAUCUCUGUUGAAUAAAUAAAUAAAAUCUUUAAAAAAAAAAAAAGAAAUGGAAGAUUACUAAAACUGUUGGUAAACACAGGUAUAAUCACAAUACUCAUUCUUUGGGACCCCACGAAGCCUCAUGCUAGAAAUCAUUACCUAGAGUGCCAGGAAGGUGUAAUGAAGAGAAAAAAGUACUAGGAAUGGAGUGAGUUCUGGGUUUUCAUCCCUGCUUUUGCUGCCUGACAAUGUGAGUGACUUCAGGCAAACACUAACACUCAGUUUGCCGAACUGUGAUGUGAGAGGUGUCCCUGAGCAUUUCCCUGCCCGUCAAGAUUCAUAAUGAAACUGAAGUUGAAACCUAGUUCCUUAGCUGGUACAAGUCCCAAGUAACCCUCUCUCGUUACCAGUUCCUAGGGACGUUGCAGCCUGUCACCCUUUCUGUUUCUUGAGCUCCCUCCAGCACUGUCUACUUAAGUCAAGAGCCCAAGUUUGCACAAAAAUAACAAUAAUAGUCACAAUCAACAUUAGCAGCAGCAGAAGCAGCACCAUCUCUAUGGAAAGCUUCCCGCCAUCUUGUUCUUUGGUUCCCUUUUUUUCUACCCCCUCAUCUCUAUUCCACACCCCCUCCAUCUCAGAUAAACCCAAGAACUCCAAUCCCUUGUCACACUAUCCUGCCACCCAGUUCUCACUCUGAAGUCUUGGCACCAGCAACAAGAAGAGAGGCUUUGAUAGGAGAGAAGGCAAGGAAGGCAUCAGAUAUGUCAGAGGCUCAUGGUCUCCCCAGAACCCUCAUCAAGACUGCAGACUAACACAUUUCUCUUCCUAACGGUCCAAAAUGCCCCAAAUCUACCUUACUGCCAGCAUGGAAGUAAACUCUCAUCGUCAAGCACCCGCAAAGAGUUUUCAAUUCCUCAACAAGCAGCAAGCUCUACAAAUCACCAUCACGCCCAAGAGAAGAGCAAAUCAAAUUGCUUUUGAAAGAUACAAAGAGAAGAAAAACUAAAAGCUCUCAUUCUUAAUCUAAAAACAAUGCAUAUGUAUGAGCAACACUAAACUCUAAAUAUACAUUUGUAUUUCACCCACACUGCUUAUGACUACAGAUUUUUGCCAAAAAUAUUACAUUUAAGUAUAAUACCUCAACUUUUUGAAAAUCUCCAAACCCCCUAUCUUUCCUCUCUCCACUGCCUACCCCCAACCCAAAUAUAUUACUACAAACUUCUGGGUGACGGACAGAAAAUCUCAUACUAGGGGCGCCUGGGUAGCGCAGUCGUUGGGCGGCUGCCUUCGGCUCAGGGCGUGAUCCUGGCAUUCCAGGAUCGAGUCCCACAUCGGGCUCCUCCGCUGGGAGCCUGCUUCUUCCUCUCCCACUCCCCCUGCUUGUGUUCCCUCUCUCGCUGGCUGUCUCUCUCUGUCAAAAUAAAUAAAUAAAAUCUUAAAAAAAAAAAAAAAAA
Molecule: long non-coding RNA, 1436 nt
Filed under: Ursus maritimus (polar bear)
Lineage: Eukaryota; Metazoa; Chordata; Mammalia; Carnivora; Ursidae
Description: lncRNA (ENSUMAG00000022169.1)
Source: RNAcentral